Molecule: long non-coding RNA, 588 nt
Organism: Sinocyclocheilus grahami
Lineage: Eukaryota; Metazoa; Chordata; Actinopteri; Cypriniformes; Cyprinidae
Exons: 4
Source: RefSeq, a predicted model, not a curated record
AUAUAGUUAUUGUUAUAGUUAUCGUUAGAAUGAAUGGACCUUGCAUUACUUUUGGAGUCACUGUUGUGUUAUUAUUUCCAGACCAAUAUCAAAAAUAAUGCCCAAAAUUCAUAAAAUAAAGUCUUUUAAAAACACAUGUGCGCAUGAUUCAUGGUAUUUUUUUUUAUUUUUUUUUGCACUGAAUGCAUCACAUUGCAGAAGUAAAAUAGCAUGCAGAUGCCAUUUCAUGACACAGUUUUCACACUGUGUAGUUUUGCGUUUAACUGAUGAUCUUUAUAUGCGCAGGAACUCUGAAACAAUUCCGUAUUUUUGGUCGAACUGGAACAUUCCUGUUCACAAGUGGUGCCUACGACACUUUUAUAAGCCAAUGCUGGUGAAAGGAGUAAAUAAGUUAGCAGCUCAGAUCGCAGUAUUCUUCAUGUCGGCGUUUUUCCAUGAGUAUUUAGUGAGUGUUCCUCUAAAGAUGUUUCGCCUCUGGGCAUUUCUGGGAAUGAUGGCACAGAUCCCACUCGCCUAUUUUGUGGGCCGAUUCUUGAGGGGAAACUAUGGCAACGCCGCCGUCUGGAUGUCGCUGAUUAUCGGCCAGCC